RNAcentral lists this ribosomal RNA (253 nucleotides) under uncultured bacterium. RNAcentral describes it as "partial 16S ribosomal RNA". It matches the Rfam family "Bacterial small subunit ribosomal RNA", at positions 524 to 776 of the family's 1533-position model. The record is from RNAcentral.
UACGUAGGGGGCAAGCGUUGUCCGGAUUUACUGGGCGUAAAGAGCGUGUAGGCGGCCACGCAGGUCCGUUGUGAAAACUGGAGGCUCAACCUUCACACGUCGACGGAAACCGUGUGGCUAGAGUCCGGAAGAGGAGAGUGGAAUUCCUGGUGUAGCGGUGAAAUGCGCAGAUAUCAGGAAGAACACCAAUGGCGAAGGCAGCUCUCUGGGACGGUACUGACGCUGAGACGCGAAAGCGUGGGGAGCGAACAGG